UGGUACCUCCCCAUCCAAACUUUGUGGCUGGAAUUGCGGCCUUGUUUGCAUCCUAUUACAACUUCAAUUUGCUGUACCAGGAGCAGGCGUCAUGCACGCUUGAAUUCAUUCAAAGAUGCUUCAUUGGAAUUAAUCCAACCAUCGGCAAGAAAGGUGGGAAGGUCUCGGCGAAAAAGAGCAACACUGUCAACCCACAUGUGUGUACGCUUCUCAAAUGCUUAAUGGACUUUGAAUGGCUGUCUGUGUGAGUAUGGAAUGAAAAGUUCUCAAACGAAAGAACCAAGGAUCUUUGUGGACAUAGCAUCCCAGUUGUUCAUAUGUUGUUCAUUGUGUAUUCAGAAUGCGUUGUUAUUGGAUUAGUUAAGUUGUUUUGCUAAAUUAUAUUUCAUUCAAUGUUUGGUAGAAUCUGUACACCUUUCAAACACCUUUCUAUGCCUAAUUGCUGUAAUAGAAAAAUCUACCCUUGUAGUUCUUAUUUUGGUACAUGUUUAUGAAAUACGUUCUCCACUUGUAUGCAGGAAUAUGUAUUUUUAAAGGCCAAUUCUACUGAUUUUUUAAAAUGUUUGCAGAAUUAAAUCAUUUGUUGUACAUGAAUUUCUUCAGUGUUGGUGAUAAAUAUGAGAGGUCUAUUAAAAAAAAAAAGAUAAAAAAAAAAUGUUUACUGUUUAACUUUCUACUAUAAGUCUCCAGAUUGUUAUGUCAUGUUUGUACAGUACAAUUGUAGUGCAUCAGAGAGAAAAAAGUGCCCUGUACCUGUACUUCUUUUGAAUUUUAUGAAUUUAUGAAUUUUAAACAGAUUGUUUUUAGUCCAACCUUAUCUCAACAUUAUUAAUAAAUGUUUGACAUUGUAA
Molecule: long non-coding RNA, 851 nt
Organism: Astyanax mexicanus (Mexican tetra)
Lineage: Eukaryota; Metazoa; Chordata; Actinopteri; Characiformes; Acestrorhamphidae
Exons: 2
Source: RefSeq, a predicted model, not a curated record